RNAcentral lists this non-coding RNA (30 nucleotides) under Mus musculus (house mouse). The record is from RNAcentral. Lineage: Eukaryota; Metazoa; Chordata; Mammalia; Rodentia; Muridae.
UACUCAUCCUUCAAAACCCAGCUCACGUGC